Neofelis nebulosa (Clouded leopard) is the source of this 3738-nucleotide long non-coding RNA. RefSeq lists it as uncharacterized. NCBI's taxonomy places the organism in Eukaryota, Metazoa, Chordata, Mammalia, Carnivora, Felidae. The transcript has 2 exons. The record is from RefSeq and is a predicted model, not a curated record.
UUGCUCAGCACAGAACCUGACAUGGGGCUCGACCCACAACCCUGGGACCAAGACCUGAGCCGAAAUCAAGAGUCAAAUGCUCAACCGACUGAGCCACACAAGCGCCCCUGUAGCCACCUUAGCUUCUAUGCAGUGCAGGUUCUAUCUGCUUAACACACACCAACGCCAAUAGACUGUAUUUGGAGCUCCCUUUCUUGUGUUGGAAACUGCUUUCAAGCAGUAAGCUCACACAAGAGUAAAACUCACUUUGUGCUGCCUGUUAUCUGAUGUCUGAAAAACACAUUUUUAAAUAUAUUUGGUCCAAUUUUCAAAUUGUUUAAGGAGGAGGGGUCUCUAACGGUUCUUCGGUUCGAGCCCUACGUUAGGCUCUGUGCUGACAGCACGGAGGCUGCUUGGGAUUCUCUCCCUCUCUCUCUCUGUCCCUCCCCUGCUCUCUCUUGCUGUCUCAAAAUAAAUACAAUUAAUGGGCAUUGAGGAGGGCCCUUGUUGGGAUGAGCACUGGGUAUGGUAGGUAAGCCAAUUUGACAGUAAAUUAUAUUAAGAUAAAUAAGUAAGUAAAUAAAUAAACUUAAAUUUUAAAAAUUUGUUUAAGGAGGAAGGGCAAAUCUGGUCCUAUUGUUCCAUCGUGGCUGGAAGCAGAAGUCACAGCUGGAGACAGUUUGGUAGAUGGAGAAAACAUUGAGCAGAUUCACAAGAUUUAUUAGAAUUGUGAUAUGACUUUGCUGUUCUGGGGGAAAUCAGAGUGCUCCCUGCCUCUGAGGCCGAUGCACUGAGGAGGUCAAGGGAGCUUGCUCCAGCAACUUCUUCACACCCGGCUUAGAAGGAGUUUCUCCCAGCACAUUCCUAUCCCUAAAGAACACCCUUGCUUCCCAUUCCAGAACAAUGCUUUCUCUGCCAGCCAGCCUGUUGAUACUAACCAGAGCUUGACCAGCCCCUGCAACCCAGUUCCUUACCCGGACUUUUACAUUUCACGUGUGCUAAGUCGAGCAUCCUUAAAGAGAGAUUUAAAAAAAAAAAAUUUUUUUUUUAAUGUGUAUUUAUUUUUGAAUGAGAGAGAGAGUCAAGAGUGAGAGCAGGAGAGGCAGAGAGAGUUGUCACCGCAGAGCCCGAAGCGGGGCUGGAACCCACAAACCUUGAGAUCAUGACCUGAGCCAAAGUCAGAUGCUUAACCGACUGAACCACCCAGGCACCCCAAAGAGAGAUUUUUUUAAAAACAUUAUUGAUGCAACAAAUGGCAUUUCCUUCAGGCUUUUCUUUUUCCAUUUUUUUUUUUAAUGUUUAUUGAUUAUUUUUGAGAGAGACAGAGAGAGUAAGAGCAGGGGAAGGGCAGAGAGAGACGGAGACACAGAAUCCGAAGCAGGCUCCAGGCUCCGAGCUGUCAGCCCAGAGCCUGACGUGGGGCUCGAACCCACAAACCGUGAGAUCAUGACCUGAGCCGAAGUCGGAUGCUUAACCGACUGAGCCACCCAGGCGCCCCAAAGAGAGAUUUUUUUUUAAAACAUUAUUAAUUCAACAAAUGGCAUUUCCUUCAGGCUUUUGUUUUUCCAUUCUUUUUUUAUUUAAAAAAAAAUUUUUUUUUAACGUUUAUUUUAUUUUUGAGACAGAGAGAGACAGAGCAUGAACGGGGGAGGGACAGAGAGAGAGGGAGACACAGAAUCGGAAGCAGGCUCCAGGCUCCGAGCCAUCAGCCCAGAGCCCGACGCGGGGCUCGAACUCACGGACCGUGAGAUCGUGACCUGAGCUGAAGUCGGACGCUUAACCGACUGAGCCACCCAGGCGCCCCUGUUUUUCCAUUCUUAAAGGCAAGCACCCUCGGAACCAAAGUGUUUACAGUAUUCUCUCUCAUCCAGUAAUUACCAAGCCAGCUUCAAGAGAUGCCCGGCAGUCUCGGUCUUCCUUUACAGCUUGAUUUCUUUCACUGCAUUUUCUACUGAAUGAUGAUGUGUGGUUUCUGAAAACGGACCAUUCACUCCUUGCCCGAGGAAAUGGCAUGUUCUGGAGAAGAAGUGUGGAAGACAGAGACCCAGACUGAUUUCCGACCUAAGCUGGGCUCUUGGGGCAGCACUGGGGCACAAAUCAGUCUGCUUCCCUGUGGCUCAGGGUCAGCGGGGGGACCAGAUCCAAACAGGCAGGCUCGGGGCUGGCACCUUUCCAGAGUUCCAGGAGCCAUCUGCGGGGGUGAGCGGAGUCUUCUAGAGGGUCUGGGAUGGGACUCACGUGAGCUCACGACACCCCCUUUCUACUGCCAUUACCCGCCCACCCUCUGUGAGCUUCAUAGGAGCAGGAACCGGCCUUACGUACCUCCCCACUGGCGCGGCGGCCGGCAGAGCGGUCCCUUGAUGGUUAAGCGUAGGUUAAACUGCUUCAUCCGGGAAGACGAUGUUUAGGGCUACAGUUUCCAGUUGGCUUUUCCUCAACUCCCAGCCGAGAGCAGAACGGGAGGGGGGAUGGCAGGAGGAGACAGUGGCGUGGCACCGAAACUUCAACGAAGUCAAAGGUCUUAACUUUAACGGUUAUUUGAAGUAGGUCUGGACUGCUUUUUCUUUUCCUGGGCGGAGCUGCUUAGCCAUUUCAAUGUUUGAUAUCUGCUAAAAGCAUUGAACGUUUUUAAGCACAAUUACUUGCCCUAACGUGGCCCGGAAAGAAAGAAGUAGGAACGGGAUUUCCCUGACUCCUGCCCCCUCACAGAGCUCUGGACCACACAGGUGCCCUUUGAUCUGCCGACCUUCGAACGUGUUGGGUUUCUUGGGUUACAAAAAAGAGCAUUUUGCUCCCUCUGCAUCCACGACCUUCUUCCUUCCUUCCUUUCAAUCCCGUGAUACCAGGGCGUUUGAAUGGAAGUGGGAAGGAAACAUGCGACCAACUCUGUGCUUGCAAUAAGGACCUUGAAGUGACCCGGAGGCCAGUGUCACCAUCCUUCCCAUUUUUCCUGCCGACCUUUCUGUCGCUUACCGGGUGCCAGGCCACCACGUCCCCAGUCCCGCUCCUAUCACGGGAGUAACAGUAUCAAGGGUAGGAAACAUGUCCCCCUGUGUCCCAACCACCAGCUCACUUGCCUGUAUCCUCACUAACUCGGGUCUCCGUAAGUGAGCUCGGCGCCUAGCACUCUAUAAGCACGUAAUACGUUCCGUGAAGACAAGGGGUGAGUCCUUAAAUUUCCUAAGUGCUUUCUAUAUGUCAGCCCCCACCUCACCAUCUGUCUUAAUCCUCCCCACAAUCUUAGGGCACAGACGUUAUUAUUAUUACUCCCGUUCGCCACACGACGAGGCUGGUGCUUAAGAGGUUUGCAUCUUGCCCAAGACGCACAGCUCUCAGGCAGAGCCGGGAUUCAAUUUCGGCCUCUCUUCCCCUACAGCUUUCGUCUUUACCUCCACAGUGGAUCAGUGAGCCCACGAUGCCCCCAUUAAGUCCCGGAGGGAGGCAGGAAGGGGAGCAGCGAUUGGGACAAAGCCGAUGCUGAGGGUGGCAGAGGGGAGACCGUCAGAAGUUGGGGCUGGAUGUGGACCUACCCGCCUGGAAGACUGCUCCCCUCUUGACUUUCCAGUUACGUAGAAAAUAAAUAUCCUUGGGGCGCCUGGGUGGCUCAGUCGGGUAAGCAUCUGCCUUUGGCCCAGGUCAUGAUCUCAUGGUUCGUGAGUUGAAGCCCCGCAUCCGGCUCUGUGCUGACAGCACGGAGCUCAUGUCAGAUCCUCUGUCCCCUUCUCACUCUGCCCCUACCCAGCUCUCUCUCUCUCUCUC